GGAACAUAACUCUUAGUAGUUCUGGUAAGAAGAGCAUCAGACAGAAGCUCUGCCCUGUGAAGUUGCCAGCACGUGAGAUGAGAAGGCAGCGCUGAGCCUGGCACAGCAGGCUGCUAGACAGCCCCUCUACAGCUGUCCCAGGCCCUGUGGUCAGUGCGAAGACCAUCAAUUGUGCCACUCUGCUCUGCUGUUGCACUGCAGCUCCUAAGUUGACAGAGACCUGGCCACUGGCUUCUGUGAUGCUGGCCCCUUCUUUCAUUGCUCUAUGUUGAAAUCGGGGGCUGCUCCUGCUUGAGGCCUCCUUUGUUACAAAUCUACUUGUUUCCCAGGUAUAAUCUCAUCUCCUCAAGAAGACGAUCAACUCCUCAGGGGUAAAACUAUGCUAUUUUCUUCCUUAAUAGACUUCUCAUAAUAACCAGUGUCGUUUUGAGGCUAUUGCAGUUUCUACAUAAUACUUUUUGAUAUUUAUUUUUGUCAAUAUGGCCCUGAUAUCCACAUGCCCAAUUAGACAUACUAAAUCCAAUAAAAGCCAAUAAUGCAGAGAGGGGUGAUCUAGGAAGCUUUUUCAAUCAGAAAUUGUUUUGUAUACGUAUUUCAAGGCUGAUAAUUUUUCAUCUGAACUUGUAAAAAUGCUACUUGAGUUUUACAAAAUAAACAAUUUAAUUGCAGAUCCCCAGCAAUUUACCCCGGUGUUCAUUCUGAGCAGAACUUCGAAAACAAUGUGGUGUUUUAUUGUCCACUGAUACAGAAGAAAUGGAAUGAGAAAUUUCCCAACCUUUGAUACUUCUAAAUCAGGACUCUUGAAAGAUGGAGGAGGGCUCAGAGUUCAAAAUGCUGGUUUGUUUCAUCUGACUUUGGCCUCUAGGGAAAGGAGUAGGAUUCACAUAAUCCUUCAAAAAUAUUUCCCUACAUUUGGUGCCUUCUGUGCUCAAGGCUUCUCAUUACUCCCUUUAAGGGUUUCUGUGAAUUGUCAAUUACCUAAAUAUAAAGGCUUUUUAUUCCAC
RNAcentral lists this long non-coding RNA (1004 nucleotides) under Homo sapiens (human). Its description in RNAcentral is "HSALNT0181002". The record is from RNAcentral. Lineage: Eukaryota; Metazoa; Chordata; Mammalia; Primates; Hominidae.